RNAcentral lists this ribosomal RNA (404 nucleotides) under uncultured bacterium. Its description in RNAcentral is "bacterial SSU rRNA". It matches the Rfam family "Bacterial small subunit ribosomal RNA", at positions 28 to 415 of the family's 1533-position model. The record is from RNAcentral.
GACGAACGCUGGCGGCGUGCCUAACACAUGCAAGUCGAACGGGACUUAGUGGAAUGCGGCUUCGGCCAAAGGAAGCUAAGUUUAGUGGCGAACGGGUGAGUAACGCGUGAGGAACCUGCCUCGGAGUGGGGAAUAACAGUUAGAAAUGACUGCUAAUACCGCAUAAUGCAUAUUGAUCGCAUGAUCGAUAUGCCAAAGAUUUAUCGCUCUGAGAUGGCCUCGCGUCUGAUUAGCUAGUUGGCGGGGUAACGGCCCACCAAGGCAACGAUCAGUAGCCGGACUGAGAGGUUGGCCGGCCACAUUGGGACUGAGACACGGCCCAGACUCCUACGGGAGGCAGCAGUGGGGAAUAUUGGGCAAUGGGCGCAAGCCUGACCCAGCAACGCCGCGUGAAGGAAGAAGGC